RNAcentral lists this ribosomal RNA (423 nucleotides) under Triticum aestivum (bread wheat). Its description in RNAcentral is "partial small subunit ribosomal RNA". The record is from RNAcentral. Lineage: Eukaryota; Viridiplantae; Streptophyta; Magnoliopsida; Poales; Poaceae.
AUGAUUGCUCUUAUCGGUAUGGCUCCUACCGAGGAGGAGGGAGAAGAGCCGAAGAAGAAGGAAAGGAAAGCAGCCGGAGCUGCUUUCACGUGGAUUCAAGCAAACUUUGCGCAUUGCCCUCCGGAUGCCACUGAUGAUGUGAUACAGACACAUGCUCGUGUCUACAUGUGGUAUGUUGUGUCGAGGACUUUGUUUCCUGAAUCCACUGGCAAGAACGCUCCAUGGAUGUGGCUGAAGGCGUUGACCGUCUUCGAUAGCAAAUGGAGCUGGGGUUCAGCGACUCUUGCCUACUUGUACCGACAGGUAGUUGGUCUGUUUUGUGAUCAACUCAUUUCUUCAUUAGCAAUGCAAGCUUGCUGUCAAGUUAACAUUGUUUUUCUUUCAUAUGCAGCUGGACGAUGCGUGUUGCAGGAUCACAGAUAG